UACGUAGGGUGCGAGCGUUAAUCGGAAUUACUGGGCGUAAAGCGUGCGCAGGCGGUUUUGUAAGCCAGGUGUGAAAGCCCCGGGCUUAACCUGGGAAUGGCAUUUGGGACUGCAAGGCUUGAGUGCGGCAGAGGAGACUGGAAUUCCUGGUGUAGCAGUGAAAUGCGUAGAUAUCAGGAGGAAUACCGAUGGCGAAGGCAGGUCUCUGGGCUGAUACUGACGCUCAUGCACGAAAGCGUGGGGAGCAAACAGG
RNAcentral lists this ribosomal RNA (253 nucleotides) under uncultured bacterium. Its description in RNAcentral is "partial 16S ribosomal RNA". It matches the Rfam family "Bacterial small subunit ribosomal RNA", at positions 524 to 776 of the family's 1533-position model. The record is from RNAcentral.